Molecule: transfer RNA, 76 nt
Filed under: Thermodesulfomicrobium thermophilum DSM 16697
Lineage: Bacteria; Pseudomonadati; Thermodesulfobacteriota; Desulfovibrionia; Desulfovibrionales; Desulfomicrobiaceae
Also listed under: 2 other names
Description: tRNA-Met
Rfam family: tRNA
About the family: Transfer RNA (tRNA) molecules are approximately 80 nucleotides in length. Their secondary structure includes four short double-helical elements and three loops (D, anti-codon, and T loops).
Source: RNAcentral
GGGCCCAUAGCUCAACUGGCAGAGCCCCCGGCUCAUAACCGGAUGGUUCCAGGUUCAAGCCCUGGUGGGCCCACCA